UAUGAUCUUAUGGUGAAUAUGGACAAGCAAGCUCAAUUAACAUUGUGCAGACAACGCUAAUGCCGGCGUUACGUUACCUCUGGGUGCUUCGUUUUGCAAGAUCAACAGGCUGCUUUUCGAACCUUGCUUUCUGUUCAUGCUGGGGGUUCUCCAGUCUAAGAACAGCAAUGUCCACACACAACUUCUGUACCUUCACUCAGCUUCUCUCUUAACUGCUAUUGCAUAAAGACAAGCACACAGUGGGGCUGAAGCUAGAUAAAAUUAAUAUGUAUGGCUUUGGAGUUUUUUCCCACAGGAUUUGAAAAUCUCUCAAAAUACUACUUUUUUGAAAAUAAAUGCCAAUGAUCAUCUUUUGUUCUUCAAAAGCAUAAUUACCCUUUUUUCUUCCUUUCUCUCAGACAGAGGUGUGUUACUUAUGGUUUCUUUGCUUGUUUUGAAAAUCGUUCUUUUGAAAUGACCUCAGCUGUGCCACUCGUUCCAGGCCUUUCCAGCCAAGGCAGUCCAAGCUACUAACCAAGAGUGGAGGAGCCGUCUAGUUUGCCAUCUGAAGAGGGGGGAGGAAAGGAUUGUUUGCCCAAAGACCAUUUAGAAUGGUGUAUAUGGCAGGGGGGAAGGAGCAUCUUUUCUUAAGCUGCUGCAUUUGCACAUUGCUGUUUCAUCUUUGGAGCCCAAACAUCAAGGCCAAGCCCCAGGAAGAAGAGCAGCUGGAGAGUUGCUCUUUAGGUGGCUUCUCAAAGCAAUGUGCCUUAAAAGUAAAUCCACUGCCUGCAUUCCCAUCAUCCAGCCAUCCUUCUGGCAGCCCGGAGCCCCGGGACAGCUAAUGAUGUCGCUAGUGAUCAGCCACCAGCUGGACUCUGUACCACCAACUCCAACCCUCUGAGCCCCAAGGAGCAAACAAUCUUCCACCCACCUUAUCGUCUGCCUUGCCAGUCUGUACCACACCGAUUUAGCUGCAAGAGUACUGCAGAAGACGUGUUAAAGGCUUUCCCAAAGUCAAGGUAAUAAGUGAUAUCCGCUGCUCUCAUGCUUUGAGGAGGCUGUCCUUGAAGAACAAGCAGCUCUCCUGGGGCCCUCUGCUCUCCAAGGCAGAUCCCUUUGGGGUCUUGGCAAGCAGAUCCCUGAACAAGGUGAAAUAUGCUCUCCUGAAGGCAAGGGCUGUGAUGCUGUUUGACCUGCUGACUUCUUGCAGGAUUUUAAAUUCUGCAGUGUCAUGACUGCUGCAGGAAAACUUACUCUUGGCCUUAAUAUCCUGAACCAGUUCUUCCUUGUUUGUGAGCAUCCCCCUAGCUGGCUCGCCAGUCACUUGUGUCAAGGAAUUGCCUUCUCCAGCACAGUCCUAGGUUGCACCUGACCAUACAGUCCUUCCCGUCACGGUACACCUGUGAGCCCUUGGGCCUGUGAUUACAUGAGGUGGCUCCACUGACUUGCUCUCCUUGAUCUCCCGUGCUGAAUGUUUGUUUACGGGUGCCUGAGAUAAGCCCUGAGUCGCAGUGCUUUCACAAGGGACGUGCCAGGGUUUCCCUGACCGUGCUGUACAGACCCUGCAGAGGGGACCUCUGCACACAAAUAACGAGCAUUUAGGUGCCUCUCCAGGUAAGGGGCGUUUCGAGGCCUUGGCUAUGCACCAGAGAUCACUGCAGAGUAUUUGUGGGUUCAUCACUUUGCAGCUUGAGCUCUCCAUCACCGGCGCGGCAAUUGCUCCAUUAGGAGUUUUUCUGUGAUCACACCGAGAUCACAGAUCAAACGGUGAUGGGUUUAUUGCUUCUCUUCAGCUAGAGCUAACUGUCAUAAUGGAGAGCUUUAUUGAUCUCCGAUGGCAGCAACGCCAGGAGCACAGAGCGGUGCUGUUUUAGGAAACACUUUGACUAUCUCCAUAAUUGCGUUUGGAUUACUGCUGCCCCAAGGGCUGGAAAUGCAAGACUGCUUGUAUGAGCUUCCCCCUUGUAGCUGAGGUGUAUCCCGCCAAAAUCAAGGUUGCUGCACUGACUGACAUUUGGGGUUGGAUAAAGGUUGUUAUUCCCAUAAAUGGUUUUAGUCUCAGGUCACUGUUUUAGGCUAAUUUCUGUCACUUACGUGCUUUCUGUAUGGGAAAGCUUGACAUAAC
This 2104-nucleotide long non-coding RNA is filed under the name Cairina moschata (Muscovy duck). RNAcentral's name for it is "domestica (muscovy Duck (domestic type)) lncRNA (ENSCMMG00000001359.1)". Lineage: Eukaryota; Metazoa; Chordata; Aves; Anseriformes; Anatidae. The record is from RNAcentral.